RNAcentral lists this small nuclear RNA (284 nucleotides) under Castor canadensis (American beaver). RNAcentral describes it as "7SK RNA (ENSCCNG00000000688.1)". It matches the Rfam family "7SK RNA". From Rfam's summary of the family: 7SK was discovered as an abundant small nuclear RNA in the mid-70s but a possible function has only recently been suggested. Two independent studies have found that 7SK RNA binds the CDK9/cyclin T complex (known as elongation factor P-TEFb). The record is from Rfam by way of RNAcentral. Lineage: Eukaryota; Metazoa; Chordata; Mammalia; Rodentia; Castoridae.
GGAUGUGAGGGCGAUCUGGCUGCGACAUCUGUCACCCCAUUGAUCGCCAGGGUUGAUUCGGCUGAUCUGGCUGGCUAGGCGGGUGUCCCCUUCCUCCCUCACCGCUCCAUGUGCGUCCCUCCCGAAGCUGCGUGCUCGGUCGAAGAGGACGACCAUCCCCGAUAGAGGAGGACCGUUCUUCGGUCAAGGGUAUACGAGUAGCUGCGCUCCCCUGCUAGAACCUCCAAACAAGCUCUCAAGGAGGCAGGUGAGCCACAGACUCAGAUAGACAUUCACAAAGCUGU